This is a long non-coding RNA of Pongo pygmaeus (Bornean orangutan), 610 nucleotides long. RefSeq lists it as uncharacterized. NCBI's taxonomy places the organism in Eukaryota, Metazoa, Chordata, Mammalia, Primates, Hominidae. The record is from RefSeq and is a predicted model, not a curated record. The transcript has 6 exons.
UGAAGCCGUUGGCAGGCACCCCAGUGGUGGUGGCAAAAUGGUUUCCAUCAGCUCCUGUCCUUCAUCCUGUUCUCUCCCCAGCUUAGGCAGAAGGAACAUUGCUCUUCCCCUACCUUCAGGGUGGUGAUUUAGGAACCUAGGCUUCUUUUGUUUUGUGGUGCUGCCAUCCCUGAGGACCAUGAAUUUCUCUGCCUCCAGUUGGCGAAUGGGAGAAGAAAGAGUGGAGAAGGUAUAUCCACUUCUCACCCACCUUGGCUCAGAGGAGAUCUUCACCACUUCCGCUCCAUUCCUAUGGGGUAUCUUUGUGCUGAUGUGUCCAUCAAGAGAACAUACACAGAAGUGACACUUGCCAGUAAUUUGCAAGCAGAUGGAACUUCAAUAUGGCAAUAGAGAAAUAAUCAAUUAGACCAGAGUCUCCUCAGGAAGACUUUCUAUAGGCAUUGUUUGGAGCCUGGGGAUACAGAGGGGAACAAUACAGACAGCGUGUCUGUUUCAACGAAUUUAUAUGCUGGUGGUGGAAAUAAAUAUCUGGUGAGCAUCUACUAGAUGCCAGGGUUGGGGAGAGUCAAGUUGAAGCAAGCAUGAACCCUCAAGGACCUACCAUUUCAAG